AAGCUCGUAGUUGAAUUUCGGGGUUAGUAGGUUGGUCAUGCCUCUGGUAUGUACUGGUCUCACUGAUUCCUCCUUCCUUAUGAACCGUAAUGCCAUUAAUUUGGUGUUGCGGGGAAUUUGGACUGUUACUUUGAAAAAAUUAGAGUGUUUAAAGCAAGCUAACGCUUGAAUACAUUAGCAUGGAAUAAUAGAAUAGGACGGCAUGGUUCUAUUUUGUUGGUUUCUAGGAUCACCGUAAUGAUUAAUAGGGAUAGUUGGG
Molecule: ribosomal RNA, 259 nt
Filed under: uncultured Glomus
Lineage: Eukaryota; Fungi; Glomeromycota; Glomeromycetes; Glomerales; Glomeraceae
Description: partial 18S ribosomal RNA
Rfam family: Eukaryotic small subunit ribosomal RNA
Source: RNAcentral